CGUGGCGGCGUGCCUAACACAUGCAAGUCGAGCGGGACGAUACGACGGAGUCAAAGUUUCGGAUGGAGACGAAGAUGUAUGUUCUAGCGGCGGACGGGUGAGUAACGCGUGAGCAACCUGUCCCUUACAGGGGGAUAACACAGCGAAAGUUGUACUAAUACCGCAUGAGACCACGGGAGGACAUCCUCCAGGGGUCAAAGGAGCAAUCCGGUAAGGGGUGGGCUCGCGUCCGAUUAGAUAGUUGGUGAGGUAACGGCCCACCAAGUCGACGAUCGGUAGCCGACCUGAGAGGGUGAUCGGCCACAUUGGGACUGAGACACGGCCCAAACUCCUACGGGAGGCAGCAGUGGGGAAUAUUGGGCAAUGGGGGGAAACCCUGACCCAGCAACGCCGCGUGAGGGAAGAAGGUUUUCGGAUCGUAAACCUCUGUCCUUGGUGAAGAGGAAGAGACGGUAGCCAAGGAGGAAGCCCCGGCUAACUACGUGCCAGCCGCAGC
RNAcentral lists this ribosomal RNA (496 nucleotides) under uncultured bacterium. RNAcentral describes it as "bacterial SSU rRNA". It matches the Rfam family "Bacterial small subunit ribosomal RNA", at positions 37 to 518 of the family's 1533-position model. The record is from RNAcentral.